This is a non-coding RNA of Gymnopus androsaceus JB14, 98 nucleotides long. Lineage: Eukaryota; Fungi; Basidiomycota; Agaricomycetes; Agaricales; Omphalotaceae. The record is from the annotation of a GenBank genome assembly.
UCCGAUAUGGUGUAGUGGCUAACAUUAUCGCCUCUCACAUGCGAGCCGCAAAAUCAAAUAGUGCGCGAUAGCCCGGGGCUCGAUUCCCCGUGUCGGAA